Molecule: long non-coding RNA, 1054 nt
Organism: Malus domestica (apple)
Lineage: Eukaryota; Viridiplantae; Streptophyta; Magnoliopsida; Rosales; Rosaceae
Source: RefSeq, a predicted model, not a curated record
CCAACUCUCCAGUCCUGCGUGCGUUCAAAUAUAUCUCCUCUAAAAUUGCUACCACGUUUUAAGAGAGAUGGCGUGGUGCUGCCACUUUCUAAAAGAGAUUGAUAUCUGAAAGGGAUGAAUCUCUUCUUUUUCCAUUGCUCUCAACCUCCAUCUGCAGAAGGAGCUCAAGCUCCUCCUUACCGACCCUCCACCUCUUCAUUCAUGCACCACUUCGAAUUGAAUCACCCGCUUUCUCUCUCCGACUCGUCCCAUUUUGAUUCCCCUCAAUCUCAUUCCCAAUGGUAUCCAAUUCCAAUAUCCUCUUCAUUGGCGGCACCAGAAAGUUCAUCGUCGAGGCCAGUGCUAAAGCCGGCCACCCACCUACUUUCUGGUCUGAGAAACUACCCUUUCCAACCCGGCAAAGUCCAAAGUCCUCGAGAACUUCAAGGAUCUGGGCGACAAUUUUGUCCUGGAUGAUGGUACGAUCACGAGAGCUUGGUUUUGCUUGAUAAUGUUACUUUUCUGAAAAUACGAUCAAGGUUUUAUAGCGAUUUCACCAUGAGAAGCAAAUACUUCUUCAUUUUAUGCUUGCCACAGGGUUGACAAACAAGUUCACCAAUUUAACCUCAGUUUGUUUCUUAAAUUUCAUUUUUGUUAUUAACAACAUAACCUUAUUUUAGAUAUUCCCAUCUUUUAUGUAUGCAUUGUUCGUUUAAGGCAAAUUUAACAGAUGCUUUACUAGAGAUAUCAAAGUUUUACUAAAAUUAGCUUUUAUCUUUAAGACAAUAAUUUUGAUUCACGCAUAAUAAUUAGCAUACAAACAUGCAUCUCUUUGUGACAAAAUGUCAAUCUACAACAUCUUCUAUGCUUUUGGUAAGCAAUUACCUGAGAGUUGACAAUAUUAUUCUCAUUAGUUUUGUUUUGGGUUCGUUAUUAUUCUAUUAUAACAAAUGCGCUUUUGUUGUUUGUGGAUCGUGCGUUCAAUCAAUAUUUUGCAAAUUCUACAAUUGUAUACCUUCUCACUAAAGACAUUAAUCACGCUACAACUAAACGAUUCAAUGAUAUCAGGAAAAAU